RNAcentral lists this long non-coding RNA (332 nucleotides) under Carica papaya (papaya). RNAcentral's name for it is "long non-coding RNA (CPAP_LNC015259)". The record is from RNAcentral. Lineage: Eukaryota; Viridiplantae; Streptophyta; Magnoliopsida; Brassicales; Caricaceae.
UGAGUACAAAAACCAUGAACCUCAAUACCCCGUCUGGUAUGAGGGUGAAACGGGUUGUUCCCAUACCUUGUCCGGUAUGGGCGCCAAAACCAUAAACCUCAAUACCCCGUCCGGUAUAAGGAUGAAACGGGCCGUCCCUAUACCUCGUCUGGUAUGGGCGCCAAAACACAUAAGGUUUCCAUACCCCGUCCGAUAUGAGAGACCACAUUCCCGGUAGGGUUUCCUACGGACCCGAUUCAUCCACUAUCUCCCAGGAUAUCUAGUCAGACUGUCCACAUUAUCUAUUUAUCAAUUCACAUCACCUUUUUCCUAUUUUCCUUGGUCUCAAUUAU